CCUACGGGGGACAGCAGUGAGGAAUAUUGGUCAAUGGGCGCGAGCCUGAACCAGCCAAGUCGCGUGAGGGAUGAAGGUUCUAUGGAUCGUAAACCUCUUUUAUAAGGGAAUAAAGUGAGGCACGUGUGCCUUUUUGUAUGUACUUUAUGAAUAAGGAUCGGCUAACUCCGUGCCAGCAGCCGCGGUAAUACGGAAGGUCCGGGCGUUAUCCGGAUUUAUUGGGUUUAAAGGGAGCGUAGGCCGGCUUUUAAGUCAGCUGUGAAAGUCCGCGGCUCAACCGUGGAAUUGCAGUUGAAACUGGAGGCCUUGAGUGCACACAGGGAUGCCGGAAUUCAUGGUGUAGCGGUGAAAUGCUUAGAUAUCAUGAAGAACUCCGAUCGCGAAGGCAAGUGUCCGGGGUGCAACUGACGCUGAGGCUCGAAAGUGCGGGUAUCAAACAGGAUUAGAUACCCCUGUAGUC
This 460-nucleotide ribosomal RNA is filed under the name uncultured bacterium. RNAcentral describes it as "partial 16S ribosomal RNA". It matches the Rfam family "Bacterial small subunit ribosomal RNA", at positions 338 to 795 of the family's 1533-position model. The record is from RNAcentral.